AUCAUGCAGGGCUCAGACUAUCUCUGAGAAGGUGCUCAUUUCCACUGCCACACAACACUGGUUUGUACAGGAAAUUACCUGCCAUGUAUAAACCCCUAUUUUUCUGCAUUCUCCUCCAGUCACAAGGGCUAGAAACCUGCAAACUACAUUUCUCAGACUUCUCUGCUAGAGGGUUUCAGUUUAGAUUAUGCCUACGGCAUGAGAGCAGGAGGCAGGUAGAGGGACUCUCAUUCUGGCUGCAGCUCAGGGGCAAGUGACUUCACACAGGGAUCAAACAGAAAGCCGGACCGCCAGAUGGAAAAUGCUGAGCACGGUCACAUAGACCUCAGGAGAUGGACCUAAACAGCUCUGAGCAGCCAACGGAGGGAAGAAGAGAUUCCUAGAAGGCAAGAAACAAAAUGGCCAGCUCCACCUGGAGGCCAGUGGCUUCAGUUUGUCACAAAGACAAAUUUAUUACAGCAAAAAAGUGCCCCCUACUCAAGAGCUGUUCAACUCCAGAAGACUCCAAAUGAAGAGAAGGGAUCCUGAAUUCUGCUUCUUGGGCAACACAACUUGACCACUGUGGACUGAGAGAGAAGAGUGGUCAUCAAGGUGAUUGGCUGAGUAGAACAGAAAGGAGGAAUGGAGUUGUUUAGAAACCAAGCCACUGGAUUGGCCAUCAUUCCAAUGGAAAGUUUUGCACCACAGGUUUGCAGCUAUUGAAAGACCAUUCUGAUUAUUGCAAAAUGAUUAGCACAUAGGCUUUUGAAUCAAAUUGAACUGGGCUCUGCCCUUUAUUAUAUGUCCUUGGGCAAGUUACUUAACCUUGCUAAGUCUCCAUUUUCUUACGUGUUAAAAAGGAGGAUAAUAUUAGUAAUUACCUCAUAAAACAAUUGUGAAGAUUAAAUGCAAUAGCUUGUAUGAAGUGAUCCUUGUUUAGCAUCCUGGUUCAUAAUAAGUACUCCAGAAAUGUUAGCUGCCAUCAAUAGCGCAUAAUUUUAAAGAAAUGGGCAUUUUUUUAUUACUGGAAUUGCUGCAAAGAUGACAAAUAGACAUCCUUCCUUAAUAAAGGGAUGUGAUUCGUUUACAAAUAGCAGCACACAUUUGCAUGUAGACAAUAGUGUGAUAAUAUUCUUAAAUACAGUUUGUUCAGUUUGUUCUUCUAAGAAAAUAAAAACACACUGCUUCCCGUUGAUCCUGAACAUUUCUCCCCCUCUUACUUGUUUACAUUGUUAAAUUGCUUAGCAACCUCUUUUUUAGGCUUGACUAGAGACAUACAAUUUCAAUCAAGAGCAGGACAAAAUACCACAAAACUUAAAUAAAUAUACUACUGCCACAUUAAAGAUAAAACAUAAAAAUCACAUUUAUUUUUAAUCACAUUUCUUUUAUCUUCUCAUGACUUUGACUUUCUGCAAAUUCAAAUGUUUUUCCUUCCCCAUAUAAGAGGUGAAGUUUGGCUUCAGUAGCUCAGCGUGUGAGUGGAAGGGUGAGGAGCAUCUCGGGAAGGGAUGGGUCUCUCUGCUCUCAGUUCCAGAAUCCCAUCUCGUCAUUAAUCUUGUACUUUUUCUUCCCUUACUUUGGCACUCUGGACUAGCUCAACAAUCAUAGAGGGGGGAAAAGUGACAGUGAUCAACUUUCCCUGUAGAAAAGGAUCGAAACAUUUCCUUUUUAUGUUUUCAAAGGACAGGAACCCAGUCUUGUCUCAUUUGCUCUGUUGAGUGGAGUAAUUCAUGAGCCCACAUCACCUAGUCCUGAAAUUCCUUCAACUACCAAUGUACCCCUGCCAAAAGUAAUAUUCUCAGCUUUCUAAUAACAGCCUUUCUUACCCUCUAUAUUAUCAUCCUAUUUGCCUCAUCUGUAACCUUCCCCAGAGGAGCUCUCAUCAUUGGCAAAUUAUUUUAAAUCCUGUUUUCAAACCAGGUAGAACAACAACAACAAUAAUAAUAGGCAAAUGUUAGAUGUAAUAAUUGGCUCAAAAGACCUAAGUGUGUUUUCCAGUGUUUCUGAGGGUAGGUCACUUCUGAAUUCCAGAAUUGGAGCAAAAACUUCAGAAUUGCUCUCUGUUUCAGGUAGAGCCUUCCACAAUAUCUUCUCUCUUCCUCUCUUUCUCUGCUCCCUGUCCUCUUGAAUAAUAGAUGGGAUCAGAAGACCUCCCUCAAGUUUACCUCAGGUCCAAUUUCUAGCUUUAUCGUUUUUUUGGAUUUGUUUGUUUGUUUUUUGUCUUGAAUACAUCACUUUACAAUUCUGAGCACAUGCCAAAGUCCGUUCAAGCUCCAAAAUUUCUGCCCCCUUAUACAUCUGAGAGGGACUUUCAUUUCUAGAUAAGAAGUAGAUGGGCUGGGCCCGGUGGCUGAAGCCUAUAAUCCCAGCACUUUGGGAGGCUGAGGCGGGCAGAUCACGAGGUCAGGAGAUGGAGACCAUCCUGGCUAACAUGGUGAAACCCCAUCUCUACUAAAAAUACAAAAAAAAAUUUUUUUAAUUUAAAAAAAAAGAAGUAGAUGGUCACAGCAGGCUAACACACACACUGUUGCAAUAAGAAAAAAAAAACAGGUAAACUGAAAGCGUCAUUAAAGACACUAUCUUGUUGGAAGCAACAGGAACUAGAUAAACUCAAGUUCCUACAUGAGCUUAUAAUCACCAGCUGUUUGCUUCCCAAGGAGCAUUUGUUCAUUGCAGGUAAAGGCUGAAGAUGAGAUUUCGGCCAAAGAGAAGGACUUUACUGGGUAAAAGAAAAAUCAGCAGAAGUUUUGGUGAAUGAAUGGGAUUGGCAUAAUAGAUGGGAAAAUAGAAGAGUGCAAAAUGCAAGGCUCAUUUCCAUAUGUUUUGGAAUGGUGGGGAAGUCUUAAAGGGGCAGAACCAGAAAGAGAAAAUAAAAUCUGCUGUAGUCUGCAGUGCUUGAGAAACAACAUCUUGUUAGAAAUACGGGUUUACAAUAAAUGUCCAACAAUUUUUCCUCAUAAACCAUUUGCCAGAUUUGAACCUUUGUGGCAUGGAUAUCUAAGAUACAGCCUCUAAACCUCUGAAGAGCAAACUAUUUAGAACUGUGGAGACAGGUAGCUGCUAGGCUUCUCAUCAAAAGCCCAAAAUUGACCUCUGCAAAAAUCAGGGACAAAUAAAAGGUGAGCUGGGAUUUGCUAAAAAUUGCAACUCAACCUCCUAUCCAGCACAAUCUCUGCCUGUCUGCCCAUCAGAGGAUAGGAGGAACCCUUGCUGGUAGACAUUUCAUCUGAACAUUUUGUUUUGUUGUUGUCAUUAUUUUGUU
This 3241-nucleotide long non-coding RNA is filed under the name Homo sapiens (human). RNAcentral describes it as "HSALNT0058375". Lineage: Eukaryota; Metazoa; Chordata; Mammalia; Primates; Hominidae. The record is from RNAcentral.